UGUGAAAGCAGACUUGACUAAUGGAGAGCCUGAAAAAAAAGAAAAUGGAGAUGACAAACCACAGGAUGAUUCCACUUCUGCAGUACUUGAAGAAGAAACUGAAGGAGGCAAAGAAAUUGUUAAAGAAAUCUUGGAGGAUGUGGUCACUUCAGCGGUUAGAGCCUCUUUAGACGAAGAACUUCUGAAGCAAAGUCUGCCUGAAUCAAGUAGGAUUUUGUCUGAGCUGGGAACUGCAGUUCUUGCUUCUCCAGGUGGCAGUCAUGAAAAUCAGCAAGCAAAUGGAAUUUCAGAUGAUAGACAGUCUGUCUCCUCCACAGAUAAUCUGGUAGGGGUUUUCAUCAUAUAAUUUGAAUGUAAAACUAACUUUUGGGAGAAGGAGGAUGGUUUGUAGAUAGGAAUCUGAAGCUAGGGUUGGAGAAAGCUCUAAAAUAUUUGAAAGGGCAAACAAAUGGUCAAAACCUAUGCAUUUCAUUACCAAUGUAUCUGCUUAGGUUGGUAUUUACUACUAUGAUAAAACAGAUGCUGCCGUGUUUUGUUGAAGCAUGAAUUUGGAGCAAAUUAUAACAAAAUGUACACGUUAUUUUGAAACAUUAGCCUAACAAUCUGUUAUGCGGUUAAAUUGUACUUUAUAUCAAAGCUUUUAAAAUUCCACCUUAAUUACUUUUAUAAGCAACUCAAGGUGGCACAUAUGCCUAAUACUCUUUCCUCCUCCUGUUUUUCCACAACAACUCUGGGUUGGGCUGUGAGUGAGUGACUGGCUCAAAGUCAUCCACUGGUUUUCAUGCAUAAGGCCGGACUAGAACUGACAGGCUUUGUCUGGUUUUGCUCCAUCUAAUUAUCUGUAGCUAUGAUUUAUUAACAUAUCCAAAAAAAUUAGUUGUACUUUGUUUUACUAAGAUAGCAUUGCAUAAGAUUUCCUAUAUUCUUAUGCUCUGAUGAUUUAGUUACUGUAAUGAUAAAUAUAAUAAAUAUUGCUGUGUCAUAGGUAAGCAUACAUGAAUGUGCUGAUUUUUUAUAAUGCAUUUUUAACCCACCACAACUGGUUAGAUAUAAUACAUAUUUUAAUUCAAGCACUUGGAUCUUAACCUUAAAACUUUCACACUUUUAAUAGAAAAUUAUAAUAGAAAAUCCUAACAAAACAAUUAAAAAUACAAUUAAAAUGUUUAACAGGAGUUCAAAUGAUAUAAAUAUAUGUACUGUAGUUGGCAUUAAGAAAAGUUUUGAGAACUGACAGAAAAAUUAUCAACAUCUUUUUGAGCUUACACAUUAAUUUCUUAAAUGAAUGAAAUAAAGUAAAUGAAUGUUAGAUUCAACAGUAGUAAUAUCUUUUAUAUCAUCUUUAUUUAGGAUCUGACUAAAAUAGAUUGUAGGCUCAAAUGAUUCACAUUCAAAUUUAAUCAAUACCU
Thamnophis sirtalis is the source of this 1406-nucleotide non-coding RNA. NCBI's taxonomy places the organism in Eukaryota, Metazoa, Chordata, Lepidosauria, Squamata, Natricidae. The record is from RefSeq and is a predicted model, not a curated record.